GAGACACCCUUAGGGGCAAGACUUGCUUCAGUGGGGCUUUAGUGCUAACUGAGUCUGCCCCUGAGUGUGUCCCU
This 74-nucleotide microRNA precursor is filed under the name Myotis lucifugus (little brown bat). RNAcentral's name for it is "mir-9229 microRNA precursor family". It matches the Rfam family "mir-9229 microRNA precursor family". The record is from Rfam by way of RNAcentral. Lineage: Eukaryota; Metazoa; Chordata; Mammalia; Chiroptera; Vespertilionidae.